AACGCAGUAGCAAUACUGAGUGGCAAACGGGUGAGUAUAAUGUGGGAAUCUGCCUUUUGGUCUGGAAUAACACGGGGAAACCUGUGCUAAUACCGGAUAAGCCCUUACGGGGAAAGUUUUAAUGCCGAAAGAUGAGCCCGCACUUGAUUAGCUAGUUGGUAAGGUAAAAGCUUACCAAGGCAACGAUCAAUAGCUGUUCUUAGAGGGAGACCAGCCACAUUGGGACUGAGACACGGCCCAGACUCCUACGGGAGGCAGCAGUGGGGAAUCUUGCACAAUGGGGGAAACCCUGAUGCAGCGAUGCCGCGUGAGUGAAGAAGGCCCUUGGGUUGUAAAACUCUUUCGUCGGGGAAGAAAAUGACUGUACCCGAAUAAGAAGGUCCGGCUAACUUCGUGCCAGCAGCCGCGGUAAUACGAAGGGACCUAGCGUAGUUCGGAAUUACUGGGCUUAAAGAGCUCGUAGGUGGUUAAAAAAGUUCGAUGGUGAAAUCCCAAGGCUCAACCUUGGAACUGCCAUCAAAACUUUUUAGCUAGAGUGUGAUAGAGGUAAGUGGAAUUUCUAGUGUAGAGGUGAAAUUCGUAGAUCAUUACGAAAGAACACCACAA
This 606-nucleotide ribosomal RNA is filed under the name uncultured Alphaproteobacteria bacterium. Its description in RNAcentral is "bacterial SSU rRNA". It matches the Rfam family "Bacterial small subunit ribosomal RNA", at positions 65 to 714 of the family's 1533-position model. The record is from RNAcentral. Lineage: Bacteria; Pseudomonadati; Pseudomonadota; Alphaproteobacteria.